AUAUAGUUGGACGCAUUUAACAGAGUUUACACACAUAUUUUGCCCGUGUCUUAUUCUAAACAAUUGGAUCAAAAGCCACCUCCAGCUGUUAUCACACAUAUCAUUUGUGAAGUCGUAACUAAUGUACAAGAUUUUUUGACAAACGCGUCACCUGUCAGAAUGGUCGGCAUGAGCAUGAGCUGUGAAAAGAUAUGUAUUGAAGAUAUUGCUGAUAGGCUGUUAAAAGUAUCGGGGUGUCCUACAACUGUUUACUGGUCGUCAAACCCGCUCCCACACAAGGAACUUACUUCUCAACGAGGAACAACAAACUUCUUUGAAAGAAAACCAAGCGAACACCAAUUACAUUCAGUUGCACUCUGAAUCGUAUUUGUGAAUAAAAUUAUUUGUCAAUGACUUAUUCGUCAUUAUAAGAAUACUUUAUUUUAAAAAUGUAAUGUAUUUCAAUUCUAAAUAAAUUAUACUAUCAUACUUUUCAUA
Metopolophium dirhodum (rose-grain aphid) is the source of this 477-nucleotide long non-coding RNA. RefSeq lists it as uncharacterized. NCBI's taxonomy places the organism in Eukaryota, Metazoa, Arthropoda, Insecta, Hemiptera, Aphididae. The transcript is spliced from 3 exons. The record is from RefSeq and is a predicted model, not a curated record.